Molecule: ribosomal RNA, 2775 nt
Filed under: Escherichia coli
Lineage: Bacteria; Pseudomonadati; Pseudomonadota; Gammaproteobacteria; Enterobacterales; Enterobacteriaceae
Description: bacterial LSU rRNA
Rfam family: Bacterial large subunit ribosomal RNA
Source: RNAcentral
AGCGUACACGGUGGAUGCCCUGGCAGUCAGAGGCGAUGAAGGACGUGCUAAUCUGCGAUAAGCGUCGGUAAGGUGAUAUGAACCGUUAUAACCGGCGAUUUCCGAAUGGGGAAACCCAGUGUGAUUCGUCACACUAUCAUUAACUGAAUCCAUAGGUUAAUGAGGCGAACCGGGGGAACUGAAACAUCUAAGUACCCCGAGGAAAAGAAAUCAACCGAGAUUCCCCCAGUAGCGGCGAGCGAACGGGGAGCAGCCCAGAGCCUGAAUCAGUGUGUGUGUUAGUGGAAGCGUCUGGAAAGGCGCGCGAUACAGGGUGACAGCCCCGUACACAAAAAUGCACAUACUGUGAGCUCGAUGAGUAGGGCGGGACACGUGGUAUCCUGUCUGAAUAUGGGGGGACCAUCCUCCAAGGCUAAAUACUCCUGACUGACCGAUAGUGAACCAGUACCGUGAGGGAAAGGCGAAAAGAACCCCGGCGAGGGGAGUGAAAAAGAACCUGAAACCGUGUACGUACAAGCAGUGGGAGCACAGAGCAAUCUGUGUGACUGCGUACCUUUUGUAUAAUGGGUCAGCGACUUAUAUUCUGUAGCAAGGUUAACCGAAUAGGGGAGCCGAAGGGAAACCGAGUCUUAACUGGGCGUUAAGUUGCAGGGUAUAGACCCGAAACCCGGUGAUCUAGCCAUGGGCAGGUUGAAGGUUGGGUAACACUAACUGGAGGACCGAACCGACUAAUGUUGAAAAAUUAGCGGAUGACUUGUGGCUGGGGGUGAAAGGCCAAUCAAACCGGGAGAUAGCUGGUUCUCCCCGAAAGCUAUUUAGGUAGCGCCUCGUGAAUUCAUCUCCGGGGGUAGAGCACUGUUUCGGCAAGGGGGUCAUCCCGACUUACCAACCCGAUGCAAACUGCGAAUACCGGAGAAUGUUAUCACGGGAGACACACGGCGGGUGCUAACGUCCGUCGUGAAGAGGGAAACAACCCAGACCGCCAGCUAAGGUCCCAAAGUCAUGGUUAAGUGGGAAACGAUGUGGGAAGGCCCAGACAGCCAGGAUGUUGGCUUAGAAGCAGCCAUCAUUUAAAGAAAGCGUAAUAGCUCACUGGUCGAGUCGGCCUGCGCGGAAGAUGUAACGGGGCUAAACCAUGCACCGAAGCUGCGGCAGCGACGCUUAUGCGUUGUUGGGUAGGGGAGCGUUCUGUAAGCCUGCGAAGGUGUACUGUGAGGUAUGCUGGAGGUAUCAGAAGUGCGAAUGCUGACAUAAGUAACGAUAAAGCGGGUGAAAAGCCCGCUCGCCGGAAGACCAAGGGUUCCUGUCCAACGUUAAUCGGGGCAGGGUGAGUCGACCCCUAAGGCGAGGCCGAAAGGCGUAGUCGAUGGGAAACAGGUUAAUAUUCCUGUACUUGGUGUUACUGCGAAGGGGGGACGGAGAAGGCUAUGUUGGCCGGGCGACGGUUGUCCCGGUUUAAGCGUGUAGGCUGGUUUUCCAGGCAAAUCCGGAAAAUCAAGGCUGAGGCGUGAUGACGAGGCACUACGGUGCUGAAGCAACAAAUGCCCUGCUUCCAGGAAAAGCCUCUAAGCAUCAGGUAACAUCAAAUCGUACCCCAAACCGACACAGGUGGUCAGGUAGAGAAUACCAAGGCGCUUGAGAGAACUCGGGUGAAGGAACUAGGCAAAAUGGUGCCGUAACUUCGGGAGAAGGCACGCUGAUAUGUAGGUGAAGUCCCUCGCGGAUGGAGCUGAAAUCAGUCGAAGAUACCAGCUGGCUGCAACUGUUUAUUAAAAACACAGCACUGUGCAAACACGAAAGUGGACGUAUACGGUGUGACGCCUGCCCGGUGCCGGAAGGUUAAUUGAUGGGGUUAGCGCAAGCGAAGCUCUUGAUCGAAGCCCCGGUAAACGGCGGCCGUAACUAUAACGGUCCUAAGGUAGCGAAAUUCCUUGUCGGGUAAGUUCCGACCUGCACGAAUGGCGUAAUGAUGGCCAGGCUGUCUCCACCCGAGACUCAGUGAAAUUGAACUCGCUGUGAAGAUGCAGUGUACCCGCGGCAAGACGGAAAGACCCCGUGAACCUUUACUAUAGCUUGACACUGAACAUUGAGCCUUGAUGUGUAGGAUAGGUGGGAGGCUUUGAAGUGUGGACGCCAGUCUGCAUGGAGCCGACCUUGAAAUACCACCCUUUAAUGUUUGAUGUUCUAACGUUGACCCGUAAUCCGGGUUGCGGACAGUGUCUGGUGGGUAGUUUGACUGGGGCGGUCUCCUCCUAAAGAGUAACGGAGGAGCACGAAGGUUGGCUAAUCCUGGUCGGACAUCAGGAGGUUAGUGCAAUGGCAUAAGCCAGCUUGACUGCGAGCGUGACGGCGCGAGCAGGUGCGAAAGCAGGUCAUAGUGAUCCGGUGGUUCUGAAUGGAAGGGCCAUCGCUCAACGGAUAAAAGGUACUCCGGGGAUAACAGGCUGAUACCGCCCAAGAGUUCAUAUCGACGGCGGUGUUUGGCACCUCGAUGUCGGCUCAUCACAUCCUGGGGCUGAAGUAGGUCCCAAGGGUAUGGCUGUUCGCCAUUUAAAGUGGUACGCGAGCUGGGUUUAGAACGUCGUGAGACAGUUCGGUCCCUAUCUGCCGUGGGCGCUGGAGAACUGAGGGGGGCUGCUCCUAGUACGAGAGGACCGGAGUGGACGCAUCACUGGUGUUCGGGUUGUCAUGCCAAUGGCACUGCCCGGUAGCUAAAUGCGGAAGAGAUAAGUGCUGAAAGCAUCUAAGCACGAAACUUGCCCCGAGAUGAGUUCU